RNAcentral lists this ribosomal RNA (172 nucleotides) under uncultured eukaryote. RNAcentral describes it as "partial small subunit ribosomal RNA". It matches the Rfam family "Eukaryotic small subunit ribosomal RNA", at positions 1662 to 1828 of the family's 1831-position model. The record is from RNAcentral.
GUACACACCGCCCGUCGCUCCUACCGAUUGGGUGAUCCGGUGAAAUGUUCGGAGGCUGACCGUCGCUGCUGGGGCAACUCAGUAGUGGUUAACCAAAGUCCAUUAAACCAUAUCAUUUAGAGGAAGGAGAAGUCGUAACAAGGUUUCCGUAGGUGAACCUGCAGAAGGAUCA